UUACUUACCUGGCAGGGGAGACACCAUGAUCAGGCAGGUGGUUUUCCCAGGGCGAGGCUCAUCCCCUGCACUCCGCGUGUGCUGACCCCUGCGAUUUCCCCAAAUGCGGGAAACUCGACUGUGUAGUAUCUGUUCUUAUCAGUUUAAUAUCUGAUA
RNAcentral lists this small nuclear RNA (156 nucleotides) under Mesitornis unicolor (brown roatelo). RNAcentral's name for it is "U1 spliceosomal RNA". It matches the Rfam family "U1 spliceosomal RNA". Rfam says of the family: U1 is a small nuclear RNA (snRNA) component of the spliceosome (involved in pre-mRNA splicing). Its 5' end forms complementary base pairs with the 5' splice junction, thus defining the 5' donor site of an intron. There are significant differences in sequence and secondary structure between metazoan and yeast U1 snRNAs, the latter being much longer (568 nucleotides as compared to 164 nucleotides in human). Lineage: Eukaryota; Metazoa; Chordata; Aves; Mesitornithiformes; Mesitornithidae. The record is from Rfam by way of RNAcentral.